ACACCGGCAGCUCUAGUGGUAGCAAUUUUUAUUGGGCCUAAAGCGUCCGUAGCCGGUUUAAUAAGUCUCUGGUGAAAUCCUGCAGCUUAACUGUGGGAAUUGCUGGAGAUACUAUUAGACUUGAGACCGGGAGAGGUUGGAGGUACUCCCAGGGUAGAGGUGAAAUUCUGUAAUCCUGGGAGGACCGCCUGUUGCGAAGGCGUCUAACUGGAACGGUUCUGACGGUGAGGGACGAAAGUUAGGGGCGCGAACCGGAUUAGAUACCCGGGUAGUCCUAACUGUAAACGAUGCGGACUUGGUGUUGGGGUGGCUUUGAGCUGUCCCAGUGCCGAAGGGAAGCUGUUAAGUCCGCCGCCUGGGAAGUACGGUCGCAAGACUGAAACUCAAAGGAAUUGGCGGGG
Molecule: ribosomal RNA, 401 nt
Filed under: uncultured bacterium
Lineage: Bacteria
Description: partial 16S ribosomal RNA
Rfam family: Archaeal small subunit ribosomal RNA
Source: RNAcentral